Octopus bimaculoides (California two-spot octopus) is the source of this 1158-nucleotide long non-coding RNA. RefSeq lists it as uncharacterized. The record is from RefSeq and is a predicted model, not a curated record. Lineage: Eukaryota; Metazoa; Mollusca; Cephalopoda; Octopoda; Octopodidae.
GUCUCGCUCAAGAACACAUGUUGCCUGGCCCCGUAAUUGAAUCGAUGAUCUAUCGAUCGUGAGUGCCGUACGCCAACCACUGGGCCACGUGCUGUAACGGUUGCAAUAUAGAUGCAACAAAUUGUAAGAAGCAGAGAGAGAAUUGUGCAGCUGCAACAAGCAAAGUAAGGUAGCACAACACCAGCGCAGAAAUGCAGAACAUUAUACAACAAAAAAGAAAACAACUGCAAAGUACGUUAUGUGUGCAGCUUCGGUGCAGUUUAUGUGCAGUAAUUAACGGUUGUUUCACUGUGUACGGUAUUUCACUGCUAAUGAUACGUCAUUUGACUGUGGCCAUGCUGGAGCAGUACCCUGAAGAAAUCAGUGCCAGUUCUUGAGUUUUUGUAAGCUUGGCACCUAUUCUAUUUGUCCAUUUUGCUAAGCAGUUAAGCUCUGUGGAAUUCCUGACAUAUAUCCAGUAGAAGGAACAUUCGAGACCUCUGGAGAUAUACUGUGACUGCGAAGACCCGGCAAAUAAAGUGAGUUCACAGCAGUAACCUACACCAGUGUCACAUAACCAGCCCCAGCCCAUUCAAAAGUACCUUGGAGAGACCUUGAGGAGACCUCUUGAGUCAAGUACAUCAAAAUCAAAUAGAAAUUGUAAUUGUGAUCCCUGUGCUGGUGGCAUGUAAACAGCACCAUUCAAACGUGGCCGAUGCCAGCACCAUUCAAACGUGGCCGAUGCCAGCACCGCCUUGACUGGCUUCCAUGCCAGUGGUACAUAAAAAGCACCAACCAAUCAUGAUCAGUGCCAGACUCCCCUGGCCCUUGUGCCAGUGGCACAUAAAAAGUACCCACUACAUUCUCUGAGUGGUUGGCGUUAGGAAGGGCAUCCAGCUAUAGAAACACUGCCAGAUCAGAUUGGGGCCUGGUGCAGCCUCCUGGCUUCCCAGACCCCAGUCGAACCGUCCAACCUAUGCCAGCUUGGAAAACGGACGUUAAACGAUGAUGAUGAUGAUGAUGAUGACUUGCCCAAGGUGCCAUGCAGUGGGACUGAACCCGGAACCAUGUGGUUGGGAAGUAAGCUUCUUACCACACAGCCACUCUUACACCUAUAUUUCUAUAUGGUUUCAGAAUAUGUUUGUUAAAACAUCUUCAUCCUAGAUUUAAAUAUUUAAA